This 205-nucleotide unclassified non-coding RNA is filed under the name Hevea brasiliensis (rubber tree). The record is from RNAcentral. Lineage: Eukaryota; Viridiplantae; Streptophyta; Magnoliopsida; Malpighiales; Euphorbiaceae.
GAGAGAGAUGCGAGGAACUGGAGGACCUCUUCUAUGCAUAGGCGAUCUUCUGUGCGAUGUCGGCGAAGAAGAAGCCGUUGAUGGAAAGGGAUCAAAUGAAACCCCCAAAUCAAUUCCAUCGCCAUCUUCUUCCUCUGCUUCUGUUUCCUCUCUUUUCGACGUAUCUCAUCCCCCCGAUCUCCCCAAACUCUUCCAGGAAAAUUAC